AAGCAGGUUCCCCCUAGGCAGAGCGCCAAGAAGCAGCCCAGGCGAUCCCAAGGCGCACAAGUGCUCUCACCAGGCUGCGCGCUGGCGGGUCGGUGCACAGGGACGGGGUCGCCGCCCACGCGCGCUUGGUUCAGGGAGCCCAGGCUGUCCCUACCCGCGGCUACAAAAGCUCGCCGAGUCUUCCUGUCCACCCAAUCGCCCCACAUGUCAGCGGUUGGUCGCCUCGCGGUGCAGUGCUGGGCACGCGAGCCCCUCCCGCAGUCAUUCUCAGCACAAGCACCAGCCUGGAGCCCCGCAGCGACAGAGCUGAGAGCCCCCAAGCCGCAGAGGUCGUGCGGAGCAGGCCUAAGGCAAUAGCUAAUUGAGACUAUGCAUCACUAUUAAGGCAUCUUCACUAAAGGGCGCUGUGGAAACGCUGCCUGAGAUGCAGACACCUGUCAGAAGGGGGCUAAAUUUCAAACAAGGAACGUGGUGUUGCAUCACAAUAAAAACAGAAGAAACACACGUGUUCUUGUGUGUAAACCCAGUCCAUGGAAGAGACCGUCUGCUUGUCCCUCCUGAUCUCUGGGCCCAGACAACCAGUAGUCACCAUUCCAAGUGAGGGGUGGCUGCAACUCUACAGCCCCGUUCGUCUCUCCUCACUGUCAAAGCUGCUGAGACCCCAGACUCGACACUUGAAAGAAACCCAUGUCUGUGAAGCACUUGUGGACCAUUCAAGAUUGUGGAAGAAUCACUCAAGAGAAGGAGAUAGGUGAUGGGAUCUAGCUUCUGAUGGUUUCUAUUUUAUUGAAUGUCUAAUAGGGCAAGAAUUUGAAAAACGAGAAUGUUUGCCAUGCAGGAGGACCUGGGAAGGAGAUAACACAUUUACAGGGAGAAAGAUUGGGAUUCAGUUGGGAGGAGUAACUGAGGAAAGGGGUCACUCAAAAUAUUUUGUAUUUUAGGUCCUUUUUCUAUUAAGGAGGAAUGGAUUAUCAAAGCCUUAACAUUAAAUUGUAUUGUGUCAGGUGAAUUGCUAUGGUUUGAAUGUGGUGUGUCCCCCUCCCAAACUCACAUUGAAUUUUUUUUUUUUUUUUUGAGACGGAGUCUCGCUCUGUUGCCCAGGCUGGAGUGCAGUGGUGCGAUCUUGGCUCACUACAAGCUCUGCCUCCCGGGUUCAAGAGAUUCUCCUGCCUCAGCCUCCCGAGUAGCUGGGAUUACAGAUGUUCGUCACCACACCUGGCUAAUUUUUGUAUUUUUAAUAGAGAUGGGGUUUCACUAUGUUGGCUAGGCUGGUCUCAAACUCCCGACAUCAGGUGAUCCACCCACCUCGGCCUCCCAAAGUGCUGGGAUUAGAGGAGUGAGCCACUGCACCCAGCCUCACGUUGAGGUUUAAUUGCCAUUGUAACAGUAUAAAGAUGUGGGACCUUUACGAGGUGAUUAGGCAAUGAGGACUCUGCCCUCAUGAAUGGAUUAAUGCUGUUAUCAUGGGAGUGGAUUCCUUAUAAAGGGACACGUUCAGCACCCCCUUGCUCUCUCUCUCACCUUCCGCCAUAUGAUGAUGGGGCACAAAGGCCAUCAUCAGAUGUUGGCCCCUUGUUCUCGAACUUCCCAACCUCCAGAGCAGUAAAAAAAUAAAUCACUGUUCUUUAC
RNAcentral lists this long non-coding RNA (1629 nucleotides) under Homo sapiens (human). RNAcentral's name for it is "HSALNT0063116". The record is from RNAcentral. Lineage: Eukaryota; Metazoa; Chordata; Mammalia; Primates; Hominidae.